UACGUAGGGUGCGAGCGUUAAUCGGAAUUACUGGGCGUAAAGCGUGCGCAGGCGGCUUCGCAAGUCAGACGUGAAAUCCCCCGGGCUUUAACCUGGGAAUGGGCGUUUUGAAAACUACGGAGCUGGGAGUGUGGCAGAGGGAGGUAGAAUUCCACGUGUAGCGGUGAAAAUGCGUAGAUAUGUGGAGGAAUACCGAUGGCGAAGGCAGCCUCCUGGGCCAACACUGACGCUCAUGCACAAAGCGUGGGGGAGCAAACAGG
This 260-nucleotide ribosomal RNA is filed under the name uncultured bacterium. RNAcentral describes it as "partial 16S ribosomal RNA". It matches the Rfam family "Bacterial small subunit ribosomal RNA", at positions 524 to 776 of the family's 1533-position model. The record is from RNAcentral.